AGCAGAGCACUCCUACGGGAGGCAGCAGUGGGAAUAUUUGGACGAAGGUGGGGAACCCUGAUCCAGCCAUGCCGCGUGUGUGAAGAAGGCCUUAUGGUUGUAAAGCACUUUAAGCGAGGAGGAGGCUACUGAGACUAAUACUCUUGGAUAGUGGACGUUACUCGCAGAAUAAGCACCGGCUAACUCUGUGCCAGCAGCCGCGGGUAAUACAGAGGGUGCGAGCGUUAAUCGGAUUUACUGGGCGUAAAGCGUGCGUAGGCGGCCAUUUAAGUCAAAUGUGAAAUCCCCGAGCUUAACUUGGGAAUUGCAUUCGAUACUGGAUGGCUAGAGUAUGGGAGAGGAUGGUAGAAUUCCAGGUGUAGCGGUGAAAUGCGUAGAGAUCUGGAGGAAUACCGAUGGCGAAGGCAGCCAUCUGGCCUAAUACUGACGCUGAGGUACGAAAGCAUGGGGAGCAAACAGGAUUAGAUACCCUGGUAG
This 477-nucleotide ribosomal RNA is filed under the name uncultured bacterium. RNAcentral describes it as "bacterial SSU rRNA". It matches the Rfam family "Bacterial small subunit ribosomal RNA", at positions 327 to 793 of the family's 1533-position model. The record is from RNAcentral.